GUGGGGAAUAUUGGGCAAUGGGCGAAAGCCUGACCCAGCAACGCCGCGUGAAGGAAGAAGGUCUUCGGAUCGUAAACUUCUAUCCUUGGUGAAGAUAAUGACGGUAGCCGAGAAGGAAGCCCCGGCUAACUACGUGCCAGCAGCCGCGGUAAUACGUAGGGGGCAAGCGUUGUCCGGAAUGAUUGGGCGUAAAGGGCGCGUAGGCGGCCAUUUAAGUCUGGAGUGAAAGUCCUGUUUUUAAGGUGGGAAGUGCUUUGGAUACUGGAUGGCUUGAGUGCAGGAGAGGUUAUCGGAAUUCCCGGUGUAGCGGUGAAAUGCGUAGAGAUCGGGAGGAACACCAGUGGCGAAGGCGGGUAACUGGACUGCAACUGACGCUGAGGCGCGAAAGUGUGGGGAGCAAACAGGAUUAGAUACCCCAGUAGUCC
Molecule: ribosomal RNA, 425 nt
Filed under: uncultured bacterium
Lineage: Bacteria
Description: partial 16S ribosomal RNA
Rfam family: Bacterial small subunit ribosomal RNA
Source: RNAcentral